Molecule: transfer RNA, 71 nt
Filed under: Rhodospirillales bacterium
Lineage: Bacteria; Pseudomonadati; Pseudomonadota; Alphaproteobacteria; Rhodospirillales
Also listed under: 2 other names
Description: tRNA-Ile
Rfam family: tRNA
About the family: Transfer RNA (tRNA) molecules are approximately 80 nucleotides in length.
Source: RNAcentral
GCGGGAAGCCUGCUGGUAGGCCGCGCGGUCUCAUAAGCCGCUGCGACGAAGGUUCGAUUCCUUCUCCCGCA